Molecule: long non-coding RNA, 215 nt
Organism: Dipodomys spectabilis (banner-tailed kangaroo rat)
Lineage: Eukaryota; Metazoa; Chordata; Mammalia; Rodentia; Heteromyidae
Exons: 3
Source: RefSeq, a predicted model, not a curated record
CUCUACAUGGCCAACCUCACUCAACUUCACUCUGGCACAGUGGGAGGAGGAAGAUUUCUAGGGAGAGAAGACAAGUCAGGAAGAACACUGAAGGACCCAGAGAAUCAAAAUGAGAAUAACAGAAACUAGAUAGCACUUCAAAAAGAAGACAAUGUUGUGUGAUUCCCUUGGCCUUCAUGAGGCAGUUAGAAAGCACUGUGCAUAGAUGCCCAAAG